GAUGAAGCGAGAUGGGAGGUCACCAUGUAUCAGUUCUACCAGCGAUAUUUCUCUGCUACUAAGAAUGUUUCCUGGCUGGCCCGUCAGGCAACGGCACAGCGACUUGAAGUGCUGAGCUUUCUGAUGCAGUGGGAAGUGACGAAACCGACCUCUGAACAUUAAUUCGCCUAAUCAUGUGUGACUGAGUAUUUGCCAGCAGGUAUUAUCUGCUGGCUUUUUU
RNAcentral lists this small RNA (220 nucleotides) under uncultured Kluyvera sp. Its description in RNAcentral is "SgrS RNA". It matches the Rfam family "SgrS RNA". From Rfam's summary of the family: In sugar transport-related sRNA (SgrS) is induced under conditions of glucose phosphate stress in E.coli. The record is from RNAcentral. Lineage: Bacteria; Pseudomonadati; Pseudomonadota; Gammaproteobacteria; Enterobacterales; Enterobacteriaceae.